Molecule: ribosomal RNA, 497 nt
Filed under: uncultured bacterium
Lineage: Bacteria
Description: partial 16S ribosomal RNA
Rfam family: Bacterial small subunit ribosomal RNA
Source: RNAcentral
GAUGAACGCUGGCGGCGUGCCUAAUACAUGCGAGUCGAGCGAACGGACGAGAAGCUUGCUUCUCUGAUGUUAGCGGCGGACGGGUGAGUAACACGUGGAUAACCUACCUAUAAGACUGGGAUAACUUCGGGAAACCGUAGCUAAUACCGGAUAAUAUUUUGAACCGCAUGGUUCAAAAGUGAAAGACGGUCUUGCUGUCACUUAUAGAUGGAUCCGCGCUGCAUUAGCUAGUUGGUAAGGUAACGGCUUACCAAGGCAACGAUGCAUAGCCGACCUGAGAGGGUGAUCGGCCACGCUGGAACUGAGACACGGUCCAGACUCCUACGGGAGGCAGCAGUAGGGAAUCUUCCGCAAUGGGCGAAAGCCUGACGGAGCAACGCCGCGUGAGUGAUGAAGGUCUUCGGAUCGUAAAACUCUGUUAUUAGGGAAGAACAUAUGUGUAAGUAACUGUGCACAUCUUGACGGUACCUAAUCAGAAAGCCACGGCUAACUACGUG